This 663-nucleotide transfer RNA is filed under the name Bartonella henselae. RNAcentral's name for it is "partial contains 16S ribosomal RNA and 16S-23S ribosomal RNA intergenic spacer". The stretch from base 133 to 206 matches the Rfam family "tRNA". Lineage: Bacteria; Pseudomonadati; Pseudomonadota; Alphaproteobacteria; Hyphomicrobiales; Bartonellaceae. The record is from RNAcentral.
AGAUGAUGAUCCCAAGCCUUCUGGCGAUCUAGACAAAACAAGUCCACCGUGGGCUUUGAAAAACGCUUUCCUUGAUAAAAUUUAAGCGUUUUAUAAGAGGAUGCCGGGGAAGGUUUUCCGGUUUAUCCCGGAGGGCUUGUAGCUCAGUUGGUUAGAGCGCGCGCUUGAUAAGCGUGAGGUCGGAGGUUCAAGUCCUCCCAGGCCCACCAGUUUAUCCAUUACUUUCAUAAGUGCUUUUAAAAAAUAAGUACUUCUAAAAAGAUUGCUUCUAAAAAGAUUGCUUCUAAAAAGCUUAUCAAAAUUGGCAGGCUUAUUGCUUUUGUGUGAGUAAUCCAAAGUUAAAGCAAAUUAAUGGCAAAAAAACAGUUCAAAUGCUAAAUACUAAGGAGUCAAAAUUCCUUGCAAAGUGAUUUUUACAGCGUCCAUUUGGUUGAUAUAAAUUCCAAAUGCUCAUAGACGUCAAUGCCUAUAUGAAACUAUCGGUUCAAUCAUAUCGCUUUGAGUUAUAUAGAUUUUGUAAUCCCUCUUUUGAUCGUUUUAAACGCUUUAUCCUGAUUUAGGGGCCGUAGCUCAGCUGGGAGAGCACCUGCUUUGCAAGCAGGGGGUCGUCGGUUCGAUCCCGUCCGGCUCCACCAUAAGGUCAUCAUCAUUGUUGUAAGAACA